AGAGGAGCUAUAUAUAUAUAGUCAAAUUUUAUUUUUGUUUCAAAUUUAUUUUUCAGUUAAUGAAAAAGUGAAUAAAAUCUUCUGAAAACUAGAGAGUAGCAUUUCAUACAAGGGCCAAACUAUUAAUGUGGCAACUAAUUCUUGCACGAAUUCCGAAUGCCUUGCUCCUGUGGACAGCUUGGCUUGAUGGUUAAUGCUUUAGGAUAUGUAGGGAGAGUGAAACAAAAGUGAUUAUAAAUCAUAAGGAGGGAGGGCAGACAAAACAGAAACAACUGAUUAUUAAUUAAGAU
This 290-nucleotide long non-coding RNA is filed under the name Citrus x clementina. RNAcentral's name for it is "Citrus clementina (C. clementina) long non-coding RNA (CCLE_LNC001965)". The record is from RNAcentral. Lineage: Eukaryota; Viridiplantae; Streptophyta; Magnoliopsida; Sapindales; Rutaceae.